This 496-nucleotide ribosomal RNA is filed under the name uncultured bacterium. RNAcentral describes it as "partial 16S ribosomal RNA". It matches the Rfam family "Bacterial small subunit ribosomal RNA", at positions 28 to 507 of the family's 1533-position model. The record is from RNAcentral.
GAUGAACGCUGGCGGCGUGCCUAAUACAUGCAAGUCGAGCGAACAGACGAGGAGCUUGCUCCUCUGACGUUAGCGGCGGACGGGUGAGUAACACGUGGAUACCUACCUAUAAGACUGGGAUAACUUCGGGAAACCGGAGCUAAUACCGGAUAAUAUAUUGAACCGCAUGGUUCAAUAGUGAAAGACGGUUUUGCUGUCACUUAUAGAUGGAUCCGCGCCGCAUUAGCUAGUUGGUAAGGUAACGGCUUACCAAGGCAACGAUGCGUAGCCGACCUGAGAGGGUGAUCGGCCACACUGGAACUGAGACACGGUCCAGACUCCUACGGGAGGCAGCAGUAGGGAAUCUUCCGCAAUGGGCGAAAGCUUGACGGAGCAACGCCGCGUGAGUGAUGAAGGUCUUCGGAUCGUAAAACUCUGUUAUUAGGGAAGAACAAAUGUGUAAGUAACUAUGCACGUCUUGACGGUACCUAAUCAGAAAGCCACGGCUAACUACGUG